UAGAAUAAAUCGUUGAAUCCGUAAUGGAGCGGGGGAACCAUUGUUGUAACGUGUGUUACUUGGGGUGAAUCCGACGCAGGAGGGGCUACUCUCAUGCCCUAACCCGACAGCUAACCUCGUAAGCGUAGUGGGAGGGAUGG
RNAcentral lists this small RNA (140 nucleotides) under Anoxybacteroides amylolyticum. Its description in RNAcentral is "Anoxybacillus amylolyticus c-di-AMP sequence". It matches the Rfam family "c-di-AMP riboswitch aptamer (ydaO/yuaA leader)". From Rfam's summary of the family: This family represents a conserved RNA structure found upstream of the ydaO and yuaA genes in Bacillus subtilis and related genes in other bacteria. The record is from Rfam by way of RNAcentral. Lineage: Bacteria; Bacillati; Bacillota; Bacilli; Caryophanales; Anoxybacillaceae.